This 253-nucleotide ribosomal RNA is filed under the name uncultured bacterium. RNAcentral's name for it is "partial 16S ribosomal RNA". It matches the Rfam family "Bacterial small subunit ribosomal RNA", at positions 524 to 776 of the family's 1533-position model. The record is from RNAcentral.
UACGUAGGGCGCAAGCGUUGUCCGGAAUUAUUGGGCGUAAAGAGCUCGUAGGCGGUCUGUUACGUCCGCUGUGAAAUCCCAGGGCUUAACCCUGGGCUUGCAGUGGAUACGGGCAGACUAGAGGCAGGUAGGGGAGAAUGGAAUUCCCGGUGUAGCGGUGAAAUGCGCAGAUAUCGGUAGGAACACCAGUGGCGAAGGCGGUCUCUUGGGGCAUUCUUGACGCUGAGGCGCGAAAGCUGGGGGAGCGAACGGG